Molecule: non-coding RNA, 159 nt
Filed under: Homo sapiens (human)
Lineage: Eukaryota; Metazoa; Chordata; Mammalia; Primates; Hominidae
Source: Rfam by way of RNAcentral
GCUAGGCAUGGUGGUGUACACCUGUAGUUCCAGCUACCUGGGAGGCUGAGGUAGGAGGGUCGAUUGACCCUGGGAGUUCUGGGCCACAGUGAGCUAUGAUUACACCUAUGAAUAGCCACUGCACUCCAGCCUGGGCAACAUAGUGAGAUCCUGUCUCUA